UGAGGAUACUGGGUUGGGAUUUGUCCUC
Molecule: non-coding RNA, 28 nt
Filed under: Rattus norvegicus (Norway rat)
Lineage: Eukaryota; Metazoa; Chordata; Mammalia; Rodentia; Muridae
Source: RNAcentral